This 1298-nucleotide ribosomal RNA is filed under the name Blautia sp. An81. RNAcentral describes it as "bacterial LSU rRNA". It matches the Rfam family "Bacterial large subunit ribosomal RNA", at positions 689 to 2018 of the family's 2925-position model. The record is from RNAcentral. Lineage: Bacteria; Bacillati; Bacillota; Clostridia; Lachnospirales; Lachnospiraceae.
AGGGCCAGAGUCGGUAUGCGCAGACCCGAAACCGGGUGACCUAUCCAUGUCCAGGUUGAAGCUGCCGUAAAAGGCAAUGGAGGACCGAACCCACAUCCGUUGAAAAGGGUGGGGAUGAGGUGUGGAUAGGGGAGAAAUUCCAAUCGAACCCGGAGAUAGCUGGUUCUCCUCGAAAUAGCUUUAGGGCUAGCCUCGGCAGAGAUACGUGGAGGUAGAGCACUGAAUUUCCUAGGGGGCGUCAAAGCCUACCGAAGAAUAUCAAACUCCGAAUGCCAUGAUAUUGCUUGCCGGGAGUCAGACUAUACGAGAUAAGUUGGAUAGUCAAAAGGGAAAGAGCCCAGACCUCCAGCUAAGGUCCCAAAGUGCGUGUUAAGUGGAAAAGGAUGUGGGAUCUCUAAGACAACCAGGAUGUUGGCUCAGAAGCAGCCAUGCAUUCAAAGAGUGCGUAAUAGCUCACUGGUCGAGAGGUCCUGCGCCGAAAAUGUCCGGGGCUGAAACACGACACCGAAGCUGAGGAAUCGAAAGAUUGGUAGAGGAGCAUUGCAUAAGGGAAGAAGCAGUACCGGAAGGAGCUGUGGACUUUAUGGAAGAGAGAAUGCCGGAAUGAGUAGCGAGAAUGAGGUGGGAAUCCUCAUGGCCGAAUAUCCAAGGUUUCCAGGGUAAAGCUGAUCUGCCCUGGGUAAGUCGGGGCCUAAGGCGAGGUCGGAAGACGUAGUCGAUGGACAACAGGUUGAGAUUCCUGUACUGCAGCAUGACAGAACUGUGGGGACACGUGUGGAGAGCAUAGCCGCGGAAUGGAAAGCCGCGGGCAAGCGAGGUAGGAGAUAUGCAGGAAAAACCGCAUAUCAAUCCGAAGGCGUGAUGCGGAGCGAACUGAAGUAGCGAAGUAUGUGAGCCAUGCGUCGAGAAAAGCCGCUAUUGUUCAUACUGUACCCGUACCGUAAACCGACACAGGUGGAUGAGGAGAGAAUCCUAAGGCCGGCGGAAGAAGCAUUGUCAAGGAACUCGGCAAAAUGACCCCGUAACUUCGGGAGAAGGGGUGCCUGCGAGAGCAGGCCGCAGAGAAUAGGCUCAAGCAACUGUUUAGCAAAAACACAGGUCUAUGCAAAACCGAAAGGUGAGGUAUAUGGGCUGACGCCUGCCCGGUGCUGGAAGGUUAAGAGGAGAGGUUAGAGAGAUCGAAGCUUUGAAUUUAAGCCCCAGUAAACGGCGGCCGUAACUAUAACGGUCCUAAGGUAGCGAAAUUCCUUGUCGGGUAAGUUCCGACCCGCACGAAAGGCGUAAUGAUUUGAGCGCUG